GGGGGUGAAAAGCCCCCUCGCCGUAAGCGCAAGGUUUCCUACGCAACGUUCAUCGGCGUAGGGUGAGUCGGCCCCUAAGGCGAGGCAGAGAUGCGUAGCUGAUGGGAAACAGGUCAAUAUUCCUGUACCGAUUGCAAGUGCGAUGUGGGGACGGAGAAGGUUAGCUCAGCCGGGUGUUGGAUGUCCCGGUUCAAGCGUGUAGUCGUGCUCUUUAGGCAAAUCCGGAGAGCUUAGAUGAGGCGUGAUAACGAGGAGGCUUGCCUCCGAAGUGAGUGAUACCCUGCUUCCAGGAAAAGCCACUAAGCUUCAGCUUGCAACGACCGUACCGCAAACCGACACUGGUGCGCGAGAUGAGUAUUCUAAGGCGCUUGAGAGAACUCUGGAGAAGGAACUCGGCAAAUUGACACCGUAACUUCGGAAGAAGGUGUGCCUUUAGUAGGUGAACCAUUUACUUGGGGAGCCCAAUGAGGCCGCAGAGAAUCGGUGGCUGCAACUGUUUAUUAAAAACACAGCACUCUGCAAAGACGAAAGUCGACGUAUAGGGUGUGACUCCUGCCCGGUGCUGGAAGAUUAAAUGAUGGGGUGCAAGCUCUUGACUGAAGUCCCAGUAAACGGCGGCCGUAACAAUAACGGUCCUAAGGUAGCGAAAUUCCUUGUCGGGUAAGUUCCGACCUGCACGAAUGGCGUAACGAUGGCCACACUGUCUCCUCCAGAGACUCAGCGAAGUUGAAAUGUUUGUGAUGAUGCAAUCUCCCCGCGGAAAGACGGAAAGACCCCAUGAACCUUUACUGUAGCUUUACAUUGGACUUUGAACAGAUCUGUGUAGGAUAGGUGGGAGGCUUUGAAGUAAGGUCGCUAGAUCUUAUGGAGCCGACGUUGAAAUACCACCCUGGUGUGUUUGAGGUUCUAACCUUGGCCCGUUAUCCGGGUUGGGGACAGUGUAUGGUGGGCAGUUUGACUGGGGCGGUCUCCUCCCAAAUCGUAACGGAGGAGUUCGAAGGUACGCUAGGCACGGUCGGAAAUCGUGCUGAUAGUGCAUAGGCAUAAGCGUGCUUGACUGCGAGACUGACAAGUCGAGCAGGUACGAAAGUAGGACUAAGUGAUCCGGUGGUUCUGUAUGGAAGGGCCAUCGCUCAACGGAUAAAAGGUACUCUGGGGAUAACAGGCUGAUACCGCCCAAGAGUUCAUAUCGACGGCGGUGUUUGGCACCUCGAUGUCGGCUCAUCUCAUCCUGGGGCUGUAGCCGGUCCCAAGGGUAUGGCUGUUCGCCAUUUAAAGAGGUACGUGAGCUGGGUUUAAAACGUCGUGAGACAGUUUGGUCCCUAUCUUCCGUGGGCGCUGCAAGAUUGAGAGAGCCUGCUCCUAGUACGAGAGGACCGGAGUGGACGCACCUCUGGUGUACCGGUUGUCACGCCAGUGGCAUCGCCGGGUAGCUAUGUGCGGAAGAGAUAACCGCUGAAAGCAUCUAAGCGGGAAACUCGUCUCAAGAUGAGUCUUGCCGGGGCCUUGAGCCCCCUGAAGAGUCGUUCGAGACCAGGACGUUGAUAGGCUGGGUGUGGAAGUGCAGUAAUGCAUUAAGCUAACCAGUACUAAUUGCUCGUGAGGCGGACCA
Molecule: ribosomal RNA, 1612 nt
Filed under: Austrofundulus limnaeus
Lineage: Eukaryota; Metazoa; Chordata; Actinopteri; Cyprinodontiformes; Rivulidae
Description: bacterial LSU rRNA
Rfam family: Bacterial large subunit ribosomal RNA
Source: RNAcentral